CUACUUUUUCAGUACCGAAACAUUCCCGCCAAAAAUAUCUUCUGGAUUCUUCUUCAAUACGCCUCUUCCCAAUUUUUGUUUAUCAUCUCCGUUCAGCUUCAACUGCAACAAAGCCAACUGCCGAUCAUCGGUGAUUCGAAAUGUCGAAGAAAAGAGGUCUUUCCUUGGAUGAGAAACGAGAGAAAAUGCUACAAAUCUUUUAUGAUUCACAAGGUUUCUUCCUUCUUAAGGAACUUGAAAAGUCGGGUCCUAAGAAAGGUGUUAUCAGCCAGUCAGUGAAAGACGUUAUCCAAUCUUUGGUGGAUGAUGAUCUUGUGUUUAAAGACAAGAUAGGGACUUCUGUAUACUUUUGGAGUCUGCCUAGUUGUGCUGGGAACCAGCUGAGAACUGUCUAUAAAAAGCUUGAAACUGAUCUCCAGAACAAUAAUAAGCGGCACACUGAACUUGUUGAACAAUGCAAGGCCUUGAAAAAGGGACGUGAAGAAUCUGAUGCCCGAGAAGAGGCCUUGAAUGAGCUGAAAUCUAUUGAACAGAAACAUAAGGAACUUAAGGAAGAGUUGAUGCAGUACGCUGAUAAUGAUCCUGCUACUAUUGAAGCAAUGAAGAAGGCGAUUGAAGUUGCCCAUUCAGCAGCUAAUAGAUGGACAGAUAACAUCUUCACAUUGAGACAAUGGUGUUCAAAUAACUUUCCCCAAGCAAAAGAGCAACUUGAUCAGCUAUACAAUGAGGUCGGAAUAACAGAUGACUUUGACUACUUAGAGUUGCCAGCAGUGGUUCCUCUUGCAGUUACUGAGGGUGAACUUUAAUUGGCCGUAAGCUAGUUUGACAUAUGCUUCCCUUAUGUUCUUUUACCUUUUACUAUGUUUGUUCUUUCCAGUGGUAUAGCAGUUGGUUCUUGCUUUAAUAAUUUGAAUGAUCUUAAAAGCAUUGUCAUAUAUGUAGUCUGGGCAGCUUAAUAGCCAUUAAUUUUGAUUAGCAUUAUGCAUGUUCUUUCUCUUUACCAUGUUUCAGAAUGUCUGGAUAUCUUAUUCUCUCCAGAAAAGAUUGUAAGUUCAAUUCGUAUUUUCCCCUCAUGAUUCCUCAAAAUCUCGUGCUAGAGGAUAUUGUGACACUGACCCAUAUAGAAAACUGUUUGUGGAUACUAUCAUACUAGAUGGGGAGAUUUUAUUGACUGAUUAAUUCAAAUUUACAUGUCAUUUCGUCGUGUUAUUUCGACACCAAAGUACUUUAUGCAAUAUUAAAGAAAACCGUCAAUUUGGGGGAUGGAACUACUGAUUAGCGGCUGAAUUAAAGUUCCAAUAAUUGAAUUAAAGUCCCAAUAACGGUUAUUAGCCAGCUACAAAAACGUCAAAAAAGGAACGACCAACUCUAUUUUAAAAUUUCAAAAAAUAAGGAAGGAAUAUAUAGGACAAACAUUCAUGUUUGGCAAGUGGCAAGUGGGGAAGGAAUUUUCAUUAAUUGGAAUAGGUCCACAAAUUAUUUUUUAUACUGUACAACUCAAAACAAUCUGUACUCAUAACGUGCAGUGAAUCUCAACCUUACACCUGUCCCUUUAUUAACGGCUAAUAAAAACUUCCUAUUAUUGAAUCUUUUCCAAAUUGGAAAGAAAUUUAAUUUGACAGAGUGUAUACUGAAUGGAGAUCCUUUACAACCAAAAUUUCAUAAAAUAAAAAAUGAAGGAAAUAAGGGAUUAAAAAUUCCCUUCCUUAUUUAUAAAACCCCAAUUUUUUCUUUUUUAGUGAAAACAAACAUUAAAAGAGUCUCAACUCUCAAGAAAGAAGAAAAAAUGGAGGUGUUGAGACUCUGUUUAAUGGCUAUUUUUGGUUUGGUUAUGGCUUUGGUUAUUCCUUCUAUCAAUGCUCAAGUACCUGAGCCUGCUCCUGCUCCUACAAGUGAUGGAGUUGCAAUUGACCAAGGUAUAGCUUAUGUGCUAAUGUUGGUUGCUUUGGCAAUUACUUAUAUGAUUCAUUAGGCAAUGUGAUACAGCUUCCAUUGCAGUUUUUUUCUUAUUAUUUUUUCUGGUUGUGAUUAAUUUUUAAAGAAAUUAAUUUCAUUCUCUUGUAUUCUUUUUAGAGGUUGAAAUUCUCUAUUUUCUUUUAUUCAAUUAUUAAAUCGUAGAAAUUCUUUAUACCUUCCCUUUCUUUUCCAUUGUAUAUGUUCUUUUUAUUUGUUUCUAUACAUAUGAGAAAUUAUGAU
Solanum tuberosum (potato) is the source of this 2196-nucleotide RNA transcript. It is a transcript of the gene named meiotic nuclear division protein 1 homolog, with no coding region annotated. NCBI's taxonomy places the organism in Eukaryota, Viridiplantae, Streptophyta, Magnoliopsida, Solanales, Solanaceae. The transcript is spliced from 11 exons. The record is from RefSeq and is a predicted model, not a curated record.